RNAcentral lists this ribosomal RNA (1426 nucleotides) under metagenome. Its description in RNAcentral is "bacterial LSU rRNA". It matches the Rfam family "Bacterial large subunit ribosomal RNA", at positions 1485 to 2925 of the family's 2925-position model. The record is from RNAcentral.
CGCUAACCGUACUGUUGGUUAUGUACGGCUAAGCAUUGAGGCAGUCUAAAUAGGCAAAUCCGUUUGGACAACGCUAGGAUGUGAUGGGGAAGCCCUCCGGGGCGAAGUAGCUGAUUUCACACCGUCAAGAAAAGCUUCUAUCGAGUUUAAAGGCGCCCGUACCGUAAACCGACACAGGUGGGUGAGGAGAGUAUCCUAAGGCCAGCGAGAGAACUAUUGUUAAGGAACUCGGCAAAAUGACCCCGUAACUUAGGGAGAAGGGGUGCCUGUCUAUGACAGGCCGCAGAGAAUAGGCCCAAGCGACUGUUUACCAAAAACACAGGUUUCUGCUAAGUCGCAAGACGAUGUAUAGGAGCUGACGCCUGCCCGGUGCUGGAAGGUUAAGGGGAUCUGUUAGAGCAAUCGAAGCAGUGAACUUAAGCCCCAGUAAACGGCGGCCGUAACGAUAACGGUCCUAAGGUAGCGAAAUUCCUUGUCGGGUAAGUUCCGACCCGCACGAAAGGCGUAACGAUUUGGGCACUGUCUCAACAAUAGACUCGGUGAAAUUGUAAUCCCGGUGAAGAUGCCGGGUACCUGCGACAGGACGGAAAGACCCCAUGGAGCUUUACUGUAGCUUGACGUUGGGUCUUGGUACUACAUGUACAGGAUAGGUGGGAGACUAUGAAGCAUGGACGCCAGUCUGUGUGGAGUCAUCCUUGGGAUACCACCCUUGUAGUACUGGGAUCCUAACCAUAGGCCUUGAAUCAGGUCUUGGAACACCGUCAGGUGGGCAGUUUGACUGGGGCGGUCGCCUCCUAAAAAGUAACGGAGGCGCUCAAAGGUUUCCUCAGCACGGUCGGAAAUCGUGCGAAGAGUGUAAAGGCAAAAGGAAGCUUGAUUGCAAGACAUACAGGUCGAGCAAGGACGAAAGUCGGACUUAGUGAUCCGGUGGUACCGCAUGGAAGGGCCAUCGCUCAACGGAUAAAAGCUACCCUGGGGAUAACAGGCUUAUCUCCCCCAAGAGUCCACAUCGACGGGGAGGUUUGGCACCUCGAUGUCGGCUCAUCACAUCCUGGGGCUGUAGUAGGUCCCAAGGGUUGGGCUGUUCGCCCAUUAAAGUGGUACGCGAGCUGGGUUCAGAACGUCGUGAGACAGUUCGGUCCCUAUCCGUCGCAGGCGUAGGAAAUUUGAGAAGACCUGUCCUUAGUACGAGAGGACCGGGAUGGACGUACCUCUGGUGUACCAGUUGUUCUGCCAAGGGCAUGGCUGGGUAGCUAUGUACGGAAUGGAUAAGCGCUGAAAGCAUCUAAGCGCGAAGCCAACUUCAAGAUAAGAUUUCCCACCGUAAGGGUAAGACCCCAGGAAGACUACCUGGUUGAUAGGUCGAAGGUGUAAGUGCAGUAAUGUAUUUAGCUUAUCGAUACUAAUAGGUCGAGGACUUGACCAU